RNAcentral lists this ribosomal RNA (563 nucleotides) under uncultured Sebacinales. RNAcentral describes it as "eukaryotic LSU rRNA". It matches the Rfam family "Eukaryotic large subunit ribosomal RNA", at positions 81 to 612 of the family's 3401-position model. Lineage: Eukaryota; Fungi; Basidiomycota; Agaricomycetes; Sebacinales. The record is from RNAcentral.
UAGUAACGGCGAGUGAAGAGGGAAAAGCCCAAAUUUUGAAUCUGGUGUCUUUGACUCCCGAGUUGUAAUCUAGAGAAGUGUUUUCCGCGUUGGACCGUGUACAAGUUCCCUGGAACGGGGCGUCAUAGAGGGUGAGAAUCCCGUAUAUGCCACGGACUACCAAUGCUCUGUGAUACACUCUCAACGAGUCGAGUUGUUUGGGAAUGCAGCUCAAAAUGGGUGGUAAAUUCCAUCUAAAGCUAAAUAUUGGCGAGAGACCGAUAGCGAACAAGUACCGUGAGGGAAAGAUGAAAAGCACUUUGGAAAGAGAGUGAAACAGUACGUGAAAUUGUUGAAAGGGAAGCGUUUGAAGUCAGUCACGUCUGUCGGAAUUCAGCCUGGCUUCUGCCUGGUGUACUUUCCGUCCGACGGGUCAGCAUCAAUUUUGAUCGAGGGAAAAAGACAUGAGGAAUGUGGCUGUCUUCGGGCAGUGUUAUAGACUCGUGUUGUAUGUCUCGGUUGGGAUUGAGGAACGCAGCGCGCCUAUUGGCCGGGGGUUCGCGCCCCUCGGUACGCGCUUAGGA